GGGCGCUUGGUUUAGUGGUAUAAUUCUCGCUUAGCACGUGAGCGGUCCUGGAUUCGAUUCUCAGAGUGUCCA
Molecule: transfer RNA, 72 nt
Filed under: Colletotrichum orbiculare MAFF 240422
Lineage: Eukaryota; Fungi; Ascomycota; Sordariomycetes; Glomerellales; Glomerellaceae
Description: tRNA-Ala (AGC) (tRNA-Ala-AGC-7-1)
Rfam family: tRNA
About the family: Transfer RNA (tRNA) molecules are approximately 80 nucleotides in length. Their secondary structure includes four short double-helical elements and three loops (D, anti-codon, and T loops).
Source: Rfam by way of RNAcentral